AUGUUCUAUGGUGUACUGGUUAGCACUCUGGGCAUUGAAUCCAGCGACCUGGGUUCAACUCCCGGUAGGACCUUCCCCCCCCG
RNAcentral lists this transfer RNA (83 nucleotides) under Rosa chinensis. RNAcentral describes it as "tRNA RchiOBHm_Chr5g0070051". The stretch from base 2 to 73 matches the Rfam family "tRNA". From Rfam's summary of the family: Transfer RNA (tRNA) molecules are approximately 80 nucleotides in length. Their secondary structure includes four short double-helical elements and three loops (D, anti-codon, and T loops). Lineage: Eukaryota; Viridiplantae; Streptophyta; Magnoliopsida; Rosales; Rosaceae. The record is from RNAcentral.